AUCGAGUAUACUCUAGGCAAGGCCAAUGUGAUUGCUGACGCUUUGAGCAGGAAAGCGUAUUGCAACAGUUUGAUUCUCAAGCCUCAUCAACCCGAGCUUUGUGAAGCUUUCCACAAACUUAACCUGCAAGUUGUUCCUCAAGGUUUCCUCGCCAACCUUCAAGUCUCUCCUACCUUGGAAGACCAGAUUCGCCAAUCCCAGCUUCUUGAUGCUAUGGUGAAAAGGGUGAAGAUUGGGAGUGCCAAGAGUCAACCCAAGUACAAGUGCUACCGCCUUGAUGACAAGGAUACUCUCUUC
RNAcentral lists this ribosomal RNA (297 nucleotides) under Triticum aestivum (bread wheat). RNAcentral describes it as "partial small subunit ribosomal RNA". Lineage: Eukaryota; Viridiplantae; Streptophyta; Magnoliopsida; Poales; Poaceae. The record is from RNAcentral.